CGUGUAGGCGGCUUGAGAAGUCUGGUUUGAAAUGCACUGGCUCAACUGGUGCGCUGGGUCAGAAACUGGCAGGCUAGAGUUCAUGGGGAGGAGCUGGAAUUCCAGGUGUAGGGGUGAAAUCUGUAGAGAUCUGGAAGAACACCGGUAGCGAAGGCGGGCUCCUAUGGAUGGACUGACGCUGAGGCGCGAAAGCGUGGGGAGCAAACAGGAUUAGAUACCCUGGUAGUCCACGCUGUAAACGAUGUGCACUAGGUAUGGGGUACGAGAGGUACUCCGUGCCGGAGCGAACGCGUUAAGUGCACCGCCUGGGGAGUAUGCUCGCAAGGGUGAA
RNAcentral lists this ribosomal RNA (331 nucleotides) under uncultured bacterium. Its description in RNAcentral is "bacterial SSU rRNA". It matches the Rfam family "Bacterial small subunit ribosomal RNA", at positions 568 to 898 of the family's 1533-position model. The record is from RNAcentral.